Molecule: ribosomal RNA, 369 nt
Filed under: Microbacterium esteraromaticum
Lineage: Bacteria; Bacillati; Actinomycetota; Actinomycetes; Micrococcales; Microbacteriaceae
Description: bacterial SSU rRNA
Rfam family: Bacterial small subunit ribosomal RNA
Source: RNAcentral
GCCGCGGUAAUACGUAGGGUGCAAGCGUUAUCCGGAAUUAUUGGGCGUAAAGAGCUCGUAGGCGGUCUGUCGCGUCUGCUGUGAAAUCCCGAGGCUCAACCUCGGGCUUGCAGUGGGUACGGGCAGACUAGAGUGCGGUAGGGGAGAUUGGAAUUCCUGGUGUAGCGGUGGAAUGCGCAGAUAUCAGGAGGAACACCGAUGGCGAAGGCAGAUCUCUGGGCCGUAACUGACGCUGAGGAGCGAAAGGGUGGGGAGCAAACAGGCUUAGAUACCCUGGUAGUCCACCCCGUAAACGUUGGGAACUAGUUGUGGGGUCCUUUCCACGGAUUCCGUGACGCAGCUAACGCAUUAAGUUCCCCGCCUGGGGAU